This 23-nucleotide non-coding RNA is filed under the name Arabidopsis thaliana (thale cress). Lineage: Eukaryota; Viridiplantae; Streptophyta; Magnoliopsida; Brassicales; Brassicaceae. The record is from RNAcentral.
UGGAAUCUCAUUGUUGUCUCAUU